Molecule: non-coding RNA, 2232 nt
Organism: Cajanus cajan (pigeon pea)
Lineage: Eukaryota; Viridiplantae; Streptophyta; Magnoliopsida; Fabales; Fabaceae
Source: RefSeq, a predicted model, not a curated record
CGGUUUUUGUGUAAAACCGACUUAGAUGGAGACCCAAAAUUCGCGCCCCCUCUCAAUUCAUGCGCGCUGUUCAGUCUCCCAGCCACAACCCUGGUUCUCUCUCUGUUCUCGAAAGCUCUCAACCUAAGUCUCAACGACGAAGUCGAUUUCGGCGAGCACAGCCUCAACGACGACAAGUUUCGAGAUUUUUCUGGUUAAUGUUGGGUGAGCUUUCUGGCUGGUGCUGAACUCGAAGCCGCUUUUUCCUGUUUCUCCAUUUGCUUGCUAGAUCCAAAUAGAAUGAUUUAUUGGGAGAAACGAGCCACACACGGUUCAUCUUUUCUUGUCUCCCACGCAUUUCUAAUUGGUAACUUGACGUUCUAGUAUUAAGAUCAAUCGUGUUGACUGAAUUUCAUUAUCCCAAGGUAUUGUUCUUUUUUGCUUUAUGACUCUAAUUGGAUUUCGAAGCUUUGGCGCAAUAAGCAGUCAGAUGUUAUUCUACUGUUUUUGAGUGCUCGUACCAUUAUCCAAGCUUAUCUAACCAGGAAUUUUUUGCUUAACCUGAUACAGGUAUUGAAAUAGCCAUACCUUCUGUAAUCAAUAACAACUUAUUUUAAAUAGUAGAAUUAUGUUGUUUAAAGUUGUUGUAACCAGGGAUCCAUCUAUGAGAUUUUCUUUUUGAAAAGUUUAACAUAAAGUUGUGCGUAGGGGUAUGGGUAAUCAACUUUAAUCAUACGUCUAGUCUUGUGGAGGUUCAUGGCUUUUAUCACCUCCUACUGUUAGGUGCUUGCUUGCCUUUGUGAUGCUCAAUCAAGUCUAUAUAGAUAAGAAUCUUGGGAAAACCACACCAAAAAAGCUAAUUCUUUAAUGUUGCAAUUUUGUUAAUUCUUUAAUUAUUUUUCUUUAAACACAAGUAAAGAUUAUUUUUUUUUGACAUAGCCUUUAGUGGUUUAUAUAUCUGUGUUUAUUCAUCUGUUAAUUUUUAUUUUCCAUUUUUGUUUUGUGGAAGUUGUGUUGUGUUAUUUAUUAUUUAUAUUUUUUGUGCUGUUUUCCUUUAUUUUUUUUUCUUGGUGAAUAUUAGUUGAGUGUUUAUCAAUAAAUAAAGGACAUUCUUCAGUGGAUGGUUAUGCCCCAAUAUAGCUGAAGCAGAGUGGAAUUUGUGUGUAAUUCCUUUUUAAAGACUAAGUAGGUUUGACUUGGGCAUUAUUAUAGUUUUGACUCUUGACACAUCCAUGUUUGUAUUUGUACCUUGAUACCAGCCUCAAAUAUUUCAAAAGAUGCGAGCUGAUCUGGCUUCUAUGUGAAGUCCUACUAGCAGAACAGGAAACUUGAGGAGAUUCUCUAUAAAAGGCAACUUGAUACCUUUGAACGAGAAUGCUUCAAAUUCUUUCUACAAUGAAUCAUUGACAUUCAAUGAGGACGUAAGUAUGAAGGAUCUUUUGGAAGCUGUAGUCCCAUUUGAUAUAUUGUUGGAUCGGAGAAAAUGGGCAUCAUUGGUAAUUUGUGAUGAAGCACUUGAGUGAGAAUUGAUUAUAUCAGCUUCUUAUGUUCCGGGAAUGGAAAUUACAUUAUCAAGCCGAUUAAAAAGCCUGUAUAGUUUAUACAUAAAGAAACCUGGUGGAAUCAUUGCUCUGCUUGAUGAAGCUUGGGUCCAACCAUCAUCCGGCAAAGUUUCUUCAACAGUUUGAGUCAUUUUCUGAAACUAAGGCAUGGUCGUAUGCAUGAUGCAGUACUAGAUGUGUGAUGCGUCGGUACAGUCGUAUGCGUGAUAUCGGUGUCGGUAGUGGAAUGCAUUGACACAGUCAUGUGUGUACAUGAUGUUGGGCGUGUGAUGCGACAGCGAAGGUGAGGAAGAUGUGGACAUAAGUGGCAUUCAAGGUGCCAAUAAUUGAGUCAUGGGAGCACUCUGAUAGUGUGACAUCGGGGCAAGGGUCUUCUAGGACUUUAAUUUUUAUUGUAAUUGGAGUUUUUACAUUUCCUUUGAAACUAUUUAUGAACUUAUUUGCUUUCUAAACUUUAUUUUAAGUUGAUCGGAUAUUGAUAAUGUAUUUUCUUUUGGAUAUGUGAACCAUUUUACCUAUGUUAAAUUGAUAUUUUUUUUAAUUUACUUUAUUAUGUAUAUUGGGGUAGAAUGGGUGUCCAUUAAGUUUAGCUUGACAAGGUGUAUUUUAUUUUUCAAAUAUGCUACUAAUGCAUAUGAGGGAUUCUCAAUAUUUUGUAGUUACAAAUUGAUAGAUCUUUAUGAAGAUUGAA